ACCGUGAGGGAAUGGUGAAAAGUACCCCGGGAGGGGAGUGAAAUAGUACCUGAAACCGUGUGCUUACAAGCCGUUGGAGCCUUUUGGGGUGACAGCGUGCCUUUUGAAGAAUGAGCCUGCGAGUUAGUGUUAUGUCGCGAGGUUAACCCGUGUGGGGUAUCCGUAGCGAAAGCGAGUCUGAAUAGGGCGUUUGAGUGGCAUGACCUAGACCCGAAGCGGAGUGAUCUAUCCAUGGCCAGGUUGAAGCGACGGUAAGACGUCGUGGAGGACCGAACCCACUUCAGUUGAAAAUGGAGGGGAUGAGCUGUGGAUAGGGGUGAAAGGCCAAUCAAACUCUGUGAUAGCUGGUUCUCCCCGAAAUGCAUUUAGGUGCAGCGUUACGUGUUUCUUGCCGGAGGUAGAGCUACUGGAUGGCCGAUGGGCCUUCACGGGUUACUGACGUCAGCUAAACUCCGAAUGCCGGUAAGUGAGAGCGUAGCAGUGAGACAGUGGGGGAUAAGCUUCAUUGUCGAGAGGGAAACAGCCCAGACCAUCAACUAAGGCCCCUAAGCGUGUGCUAAGUGGGAAAGGAUGUGGAGUUGCUGAGACAACCAGGAGGUUGGCUUAGAAGCAGCCAUCCUUGAAAGAGUGCGUAAUAGCUCACUGGUCAAGUGAUUCUGCGCCGAUAAUGUAGCGGGGCUCAAGUACACCGCCGAAGUUGUGGCAAUGACCCUUUGGGGUUGUUGGGUAGGGGAGCGUCGUGUAGCCGGUGAAGCUGCGGUGUAAACCAGUGGUGGAGGCUAUGCGAGUGAGAAUGCAGGCAUGAGUAGCGAAAGAUGAGUGAGAAACUCAUCCGCCGGAUGAUCAAGGGUUCCAGGGUCAAGUUAAUCUGCCCUGGGUUAGUCGGGGCCUAAGGCGAGGCCGACAGGCGUAGUCGAUGGAUAACGGGUUGAUAUUCCCGUACCGGUGAAAAACCGCCCAUACUGAUAUUGUGAUGCUAACCAUGCGAAGCAUGAUGUGCAGGCUUUUGUUUGUGUGUUGUGUGGGUUGUGGGACCCGAUCUUUGGAGGUAAACGUAUUAACAGGUGUGACGCAGGAAGGUAGCCAAGCCACGCGAUGGUUGUCGUGGUCUAAGCGUGUAGGGUUGUCGGUUGUUAAAUGCGCCGGCUGUGUGCCUGAGACGUGAUGGGACCCCGUUUUUGGGGGAUUUGGUGAUCCUAUGCUGCCGAGAAAAGCAUCGGCGUGAGGUUUUAGCCGCCCGUACCCUAAACCGACACAGGUGAUCAGGUAGAGAAUACUAAGGCGAUCGAGAGAAUCAUGGUUAAGGAACUCGGCAAAAUGCCCCCGUAACUUCGGGAGAAGGGGGGCCCUGAGCGUGAUCUGCCCGUGCGGUGGGGAGCGUGUAGGGGUCGCAGAGACCAGGGGGAAGCGACUGUUUAUCAAAAACACAGGUCCGUGCGAAGUCGUAAGACGAUGUAUACGGACUGACUCCUGCCCGGUGCUGGAAGGUUAAGAGGAUUGGUUAGCCUUUUUUGGGCGAAGCUGAGAAUUUAAGCCCCAGUAAACGGCGGUGGUAACUAUAACCAUCCUAAGGUAGCGAAAUUCCUUGUCGGGUAAGUUCCGACCUGCACGAAUGGAGUAACGACUUCCCUACUGUCUCAACCAUGAACUCGGCGAAAUUGCAGUACGAGUAAAGAUGCUCGUUUCGCGCAGCAGGACGGAAAGACCCCGUGACCUUUACUAUAGUUUGGUAUUGGUGUUUGGUUUGGCUUGUGUAGGAUAGGUGGGAGACUGUGAAGCAUGGACGCUAGUUUGUGUGGAGUCGUUGUUGAAAUACCACUCUGGUCAAUCUGGAUGUCUAACUUCGGGCCAUGAUCUGGUUCAGGGACAGUGCCUGAUGGGUAGUUUAACUGGGGCGGUUGCCUCCUAAAGUGUAACGGAGGCGCCCAAAGGUUCCCUCAGCCUGGUUGGCAAUCAGGUGUUGAGUGUAAGUGCACAAGGGAGCUUGACUGUGAGACUGGCAGGUCGAGCAGGGACGAAAGUCGGGACUAGUGAUCCGGCGGUACGUUGUGGAACGGCCGUCGCUCAACGGAUAAAAGGUACCUCGGGGAUAACAGGCUGAUCUUGCCCAAGAGUCCAUAUCGACGGCAUGGUUUGGCACCUCGAUGUCGGCUCGUCGCAUCCUGGGGCUGGAG
Molecule: ribosomal RNA, 2174 nt
Filed under: human metagenome
Description: bacterial LSU rRNA
Rfam family: Bacterial large subunit ribosomal RNA
Source: RNAcentral